This 497-nucleotide ribosomal RNA is filed under the name uncultured bacterium. Its description in RNAcentral is "bacterial SSU rRNA". It matches the Rfam family "Bacterial small subunit ribosomal RNA", at positions 21 to 507 of the family's 1533-position model. The record is from RNAcentral.
GGCUCAGGAUGAACGCUAGCUACAGGCUUAACACAUGCAAGUCGCGGGGCAUCAUGAAUUUAGCUUGCUAAGUUUGAUGGCGACCGGCGCACGGGUGAGUAACGCGUAUCCAACCUUCCUCUCUCCACGGGAUAGCCCGUCGAAAGGCGGAUUAAUACCGUAUGCUGUCACCAGAUGGCAUCAGAAAGUGACGAAAGGUUUGGCGGAGAGAGAUGGGGAUGCGUCCGAUUAGCUUGUUGGCGGGGUAACGGCCCACCAAGGCGACGAUCGGUAGGGGUUCUGAGAGGAAGGUCCCCCACAUUGGAACUGAGACACGGUCCAAACUCCUACGGGAGGCAGCAGUGAGGAAUAUUGGUCAAUGGACGGAAGUCUGAACCAGCCAAGUAGCGUGCAGGAUGACGGCCCUAUGGGUUGUAAACUGCUUUUAUGCGGGGAUAAAGUGGGCUACGUGUAGCCUAUUGCAGGUACCGCAUGAAUAAGGACCGGCUAAUUCCGUG